AGUGGGGAAUAUUGGGCAAUGGGCGCAAGCCUGACCCAGCAACGCCGCGUGAGGGAAGAAGGUCUUCGGAUUGUAAACCUCUGUCCUUGGUGAAAAGUAAGAGAUGGUAGCCAAGGAGGAAGCUCCGGCUAACUACGUGCCAGCAGCCGCGGUAAUACGUAGGGAGCGAGCGUUGUCCGGAAUGAUUGGGCGUAAAGGGCGUGUAGGCGGCCGUUUAAGUCUGGAGUGAAAUUCCUGUUUUUAAGGUAGGAACUGCUUUGGAAACUGGACGGCUUGAGUGCAGGAGAGGUUAUCGGAAUUCCCGGUGUAGCGGUGAAAUGCGUAGAGAUCGGGAGGAACACCAGUGGCGAAGGCGGGUAACUGGACUGCAACUGACGCUGAGGCGCGAAAGUGUGGGGAGCAAACAGGAUUAGAUACCCUGGUAGUCCACACUGUAAACGAUGAAUGCUAGGUGUAGGGGGUAUCGACCCCUUCUGUGCCGGAGUCAACACAAUAAGCAUUCCGCCUGGGGAGUACGGCCGCAAGGUUGAAACUCAAAGGAAUUGACGGGGGCCCGCACAAGCAGCGGAGCAUGUGG
RNAcentral lists this ribosomal RNA (577 nucleotides) under uncultured bacterium. Its description in RNAcentral is "bacterial SSU rRNA". It matches the Rfam family "Bacterial small subunit ribosomal RNA", at positions 353 to 944 of the family's 1533-position model. The record is from RNAcentral.